GCCAGCAUGGCGCAGUGGUUUGAUCGUUGGACUAUGACUCUGGAGACCAGGGUUCCAAUCCUUGAUCAGCCA
Non-coding RNA from Phrynosoma platyrhinos (Desert horned lizard), 72 nucleotides. NCBI's taxonomy places the organism in Eukaryota, Metazoa, Chordata, Lepidosauria, Squamata, Phrynosomatidae. The record is from the annotation of a GenBank genome assembly.